Molecule: long non-coding RNA, 349 nt
Filed under: Anser brachyrhynchus (Pink-footed goose)
Lineage: Eukaryota; Metazoa; Chordata; Aves; Anseriformes; Anatidae
Description: lncRNA (ENSABRG00000016691.1)
Source: RNAcentral
CUUUCAUUUGCUGUCUAAUAUUUUGUUAGAAUUACAGAAGGUAAGAGACAGGUUUCCCAUGAAAGCCACGUCUGCUGCUCCAGAGAUUCCCUGGCAGUGCUGUUCCAGGUGCUUGGCAGAGUCCCCAGGAGAUCACACACCUCUUGUGAUGCAGGACAGAAGCUCCCAGACCCUGGACACCCUCAGGACCUGCCACAUCCACCAGGGAAUUUCACACCAUCGUGUCAGUGAAUGCACUUCAUCAUCUGUCCAAGAAGAGGAGAGCAAGGCUGAGCAAGGUCAGGAAAUCAAACCAUGUAAGAAAAGUCCUUGCAACUCUGCAGAGACACGGAUGAAACUGGACCGAUAA